RNAcentral lists this long non-coding RNA (1002 nucleotides) under Manacus vitellinus (golden-collared manakin). RNAcentral describes it as "lncRNA (ENSMVIG00005009645.1)". The record is from RNAcentral. Lineage: Eukaryota; Metazoa; Chordata; Aves; Passeriformes; Pipridae.
CCUCUGCACCCAGACGGGCUGGGCAUGGAUCCUGCACAGCAGAAACAGCACAGUAGCUCAUGGAGACUGCAGGGAUCUGUCCAUGGGAAAGCUCUGGGCAGGUUGGGCACAGCCAUGGCAUCACCUCCAGCUCCUGGUUCAGUCUCUGAGGCUGGUGCAAGUACAGACACAGUGUCCUACAGCACAGCUGUGCUAGUCCUGGCUGGGGAGUCCAGGAGGGUGAGGGAAUGGAUAUGAAACCAUUGAACAUCCCUUUGCCCGCCCAUCCGUAGAAUCACAGGAUAGUUUGGGUGGGAAGAGACCUUAACACUCAUUCCACUCUCUUGCCAUGGGCAGGAACACCUUCCACUAUCCCAGGCUGCUCCAAGCCCUGUCCAACCUGGUCUUGGACACUUUCAGGGAUGGGGCAGCCACAGCUUCUCUGGGCAACUGUGCCAGGGCCUCACCACCCUCACAGCCAACAAUUUCUUCCCAAUACCUAAUGCAAAUCUCCCCCUUUUCAGUUUAAAGCCAUUCCCCCUUGUCCUGUCCCUCCAGGCCCUUGUCCAAAGUCCCUCUACAGCUCUUUUGGAACGCCCUUCGGCCCUGGAAGGGGCCCUCAGGUCUCCCGGGAGCCUUCUCUUCUCCAGGUGAACACCCCCAGCUGUCCCAGCCUGGCUCCAGAGCAGAGGGGCUCCAGCUCUUGGAGCAUCUCCGUGGCCUCCUCUGGACUCGCUCCAGCAGUUCCAUGUCCUUCCUGUGCAGGGACCCCCGAGCUGGAGGCAGCUCUGCAGAGUGGAGCAGAGGGGCAGAAUCCUCUCCCUUGCCCUGCCAGCCAUGGGGACGUAGCCAGGAUACAGCGGGCUUUCUGGGAUGCGAGUGCAUCCGUCCAUCCGUCCGUCCAUCCAUCCAUCUACCCCAGCUCGGGAGAAGAGCUGGGAGAAGCCGCUGCGGGAUCUUCUGGGACAGGCGAACGAGUGAAUUCACCCUGGGGAUGGAGCCCGUGAACGGUUCCCCCUCCUU